Molecule: long non-coding RNA, 491 nt
Filed under: Cucumis sativus (cucumber)
Lineage: Eukaryota; Viridiplantae; Streptophyta; Magnoliopsida; Cucurbitales; Cucurbitaceae
Description: long non-coding RNA (CSAT_LNC001936)
Source: RNAcentral
UCAAGUUUUUCAGCUGUUUUCUGUCAUUUCCAUUAAGAGAUUGAAUUAAACUAAUCUAGCCAAAAGUCACACACCACAAGGAACAAAAUGAACUAUGAACUUGAAAAUAGCAAGUCUAUUAUGAAUAAAGCAGGCUUGACUUUGCAAUCAAGUCAACAAGAGAGGUGUAUGUCAAUGUAUUAAGCUAAAACUUGAUUGGAUUGAUUUCCAGAAGGCAGAAUAUAAUGCAUCAGAUAAAAUUAACUAAAAACAUUACUGUUUUAAGCAUAGUUUUUCUUCAAAUAUACAAUCGUGGGGUAGGAGAUCUUCAUGGUUGGCACUCAUCUAUUUAUAGAUUAAAGAUAAGAUUAAAGGAUCUUCAUCAUGCUAAGAGACUUGCAAGACAAUCAAAUGACAUUUAAAAGUGUACAGUAUUGAAAUUUCAAAACAAAGAAAUAACUAUAUAUUCCUACAUUCAGCUAGUCCUUUCUAUCAAUAUUUUGACAAAAAAA